GAAAAUCAGGACUGUGGUUCUGAUGAACAGAAAGGGCUGUUUUGAAGCGUGGAAUUCUCAUCCCAGAUAAUUAUUGCUCAGGAUGGCACCACCCUGGCUCCCUGCCCUUUGCAAAUUCUUUGUAAAGGGCACAGGAGGAACGGCUUGUCUCUGACCCAUGGAAGACUCAUCUGGAAGAUACUAUGCAAGGCUGAGGUCUGGAAUAAUCUGAAGUCUGUUCACUUGCAUGCCUGGUGAGUGAUAAUGGCUAUCAGUUGUCAGCCAGAUCACCCAUGAAUGGGCUCUCGUUGUUGCCUGGGAUUCCUUCAAAUAUGUACCCUCCUCUGUCCUGGCACUAUUUCCUGACUCCAUGAAGACAGUUAUGGAUGGUGGGUCUGGCCGCUGCACUCCCUGGACUGAAAUAGCCAGAAUGAUGAGAAAAUUGAGUUGAUGCAAUUGAGUGUUAACAAAAACAUGGAGAAGAAAAAAUUAUCUGUUUCUUUGAAAGCCACAUCCCAUGAACAUUCUCUUGGACGAUACAAAUCUACAUAGAAAAAUCUGUUCUUUACCAAUAAUUUCAAAAGUGCAUGAGGAUGCUCAUGCAGUAUUGCUUGUAAUAGUAAACACUGAAAAUAAAUUAAAAUGGCCAUCAAUGGGGGAAUGUCAAUGUGGUAUAUUCAUAUCUAAAGUGCUAUUGUAGCCUCAAAAUAACAUAUAUCUACUUUCAUGUAAAUAUGCCUGUGUUUUAUUGAUACAUUAUAAAAAUAAUUUGCAAAACAUUAUGAGUAGAACAGAAUCCUAUUUUGUUUUUGAAAGCAGAUUUAAGCUUCGCCAUUCCAUAUAAAAUGUCUAAAAAUAACAAUGUAUUUUCCUUUUAAAAUUCACUUCUAGCAUGUAAAUCAAGAAGAAUCCAGACAGACCAGAACCUAUGAGAAAUUCUUGAAAGAUUUAAAAGGAAAUGAAAUUAGAAAAUACAAGUUUCCAAAAUAUGGAGUUUGCCAAACACACUUUUCUGCUACAGAA
This is a long non-coding RNA of Rhinolophus ferrumequinum (greater horseshoe bat), 1002 nucleotides long. RefSeq lists it as uncharacterized. NCBI's taxonomy places the organism in Eukaryota, Metazoa, Chordata, Mammalia, Chiroptera, Rhinolophidae. The transcript is spliced from 3 exons. The record is from RefSeq and is a predicted model, not a curated record.